RNAcentral lists this transfer RNA (66 nucleotides) under Ochterus marginatus. RNAcentral's name for it is "tRNA-Phe". The record is from RNAcentral. Lineage: Eukaryota; Metazoa; Arthropoda; Insecta; Hemiptera; Ochteridae.
ACUUGAGUAGCUUAAUUAAAAAGUUUAAUAUUGAAGAUAUUAAGAUAAGUUUGUACUUUUCAAGUA